UAUUUAGCGUGGGUUAAGGGUUUUCUUUAGCAGAGCGGACAUGCGAGCUCUAGUGUAAUUGUAGUUUGAGCAAUUAAUAAGUCUGCUAUUAUGAGAGGUGAAAUUGGUGCCAGCAUCUGCGGUUAUACUAGGUCUUAAAAACUAAUUUAGGUUGGUUAUUUUUUCAAAUUGAGGAAUUGUUUUUGGUGAAAUAAGGCUAGGUUUAUUUUUGGUGGAAAGAUCAGGCAGAGGGGGACCAGGAUUAGAGACCCUGUUACUAUUUAUAUAGUCUAAUGAUUACAGUUAUAAUUUACAUGGUUUGGCGGCUUAGCUAUAUUAGAGGAGUUUGCUUUUAAUCGAUAGGGCGCGGUGGCUCUUGUCUGGUUUAUUUAUGUACACCGUCAUUUAGUUAAUUUUAAUAGAAAAAUUAAGGCAUUUAGUUAAGUAAAUUAGAUCAAGGUGCAGAGUAAGCAGAAAGUAGUUGACUACAAUAUAAACUAAUAUUAUAGGCGUAAAAAAGUAAAUAUUAACAAGUGGAUUUAAGAGUAAUUAUUUAUGUUUGAUUUUACUUGCUAAGUGUACAAAUUGCCCGUCAAUCUCUGGGAGAUAAGUCGAAACAAAGUAGAGAUACCGGAAGGUUUUUCU
RNAcentral lists this ribosomal RNA (624 nucleotides) under Garjajewia cabanisii. RNAcentral describes it as "12S ribosomal RNA". Lineage: Eukaryota; Metazoa; Arthropoda; Malacostraca; Amphipoda; Acanthogammaridae. The record is from RNAcentral.